UACAGAGGUCUCAAGCGUUGUUCGGAUUCAUUGGGCGUAAAGCGCGCGUAGGCGGCCCGGUAAGUCGGAUGUGAAAUCUCACGGCUCAACCGUGGAACUGCAUUCGAUACUGUCGGGCUAGAGGCAGGUAGGGGAGAUCGGAAUUCCCGGUGUAGCGGUGAAAUGCGCAGAUAUCGGGAGGAACACCGGUGGCGAAGCGGAUCUCUGGGCCUGUCCUGACGCUCAGGCGCGAAAGCUAGGGGAGCGAACAGG
Molecule: ribosomal RNA, 252 nt
Filed under: uncultured bacterium
Lineage: Bacteria
Description: partial 16S ribosomal RNA
Rfam family: Bacterial small subunit ribosomal RNA
Source: RNAcentral